UACAGAGGAUGCAAGCGUUAUCCGGAAUGAUUGGGCGUAAAGCGUCUGUAGGUGGCUUUUUAAGUCCGCCGUCAAAUCCCAGGGCUCAACUCUGGACAGGCGGUGGAAACUACCAAGCUGGAGUACGGUAGGGGCAGACGGAAUUCCGGGUGGAGCGGUGAAAUGCGUAGAGAUCCGGAGGAACACCGAAAGCGAAGGCAGUCUCCUGGCAAGUUUCUGACGCUCAGGUGCGAAAGCUAGGGGAGCGAACAGG
This 253-nucleotide ribosomal RNA is filed under the name uncultured bacterium. RNAcentral describes it as "partial 16S ribosomal RNA". It matches the Rfam family "Bacterial small subunit ribosomal RNA", at positions 524 to 776 of the family's 1533-position model. The record is from RNAcentral.